CAGCAGCCACGGGAAUACAGAGGGUGCGAGCGUUAAUCGGAUUUACUGGGCGUAAAGCGUGCGUAGGCGGCUUUUUAAGUCGGAUGUGAAAUCCCUGAGCUUAACUUAGGAAUUGCAUUCGAUACUGGGAAGCUAGAGUAUGGGAGAGGAUGGUAGAAUUCCAGGUGUAGCGGUGAAAUGCGUAGAGAUCUGGAGGAAUACCGAUGGCGAAGGCAGCCAUCUGGCCUAAUACUGACGCUGAGGUACGAAAGCAUGGGGAGCAAACAGGAUUAGAGACCCGGGUAGUCCCUGUCUCUUAUAC
RNAcentral lists this ribosomal RNA (301 nucleotides) under uncultured bacterium. Its description in RNAcentral is "partial 16S ribosomal RNA". It matches the Rfam family "Bacterial small subunit ribosomal RNA", at positions 509 to 807 of the family's 1533-position model. The record is from RNAcentral.